UACGUAGGUGGCGAGCGUUGUCCGGAUUUACUGGGCGUAAAGAGCGCGCAGGCGGUCGUACAAGUCGCGUGUGAAAGCCCCCGGCUCAACUGGGGAGGGUCACGCGAUACUGUUCGACUCGAAGGCAGGAGAGGGUAGUGGAAUUCCCGGUGUAGUGGUGAAAUGCGUAGAUAUCUGGAGGAACACCGGUGGCGAAGGCGGCAUCCUGGACCAACACUGACACUGAUGAGCGAAAGCCAGGGGAGCAAACGGG
This 253-nucleotide ribosomal RNA is filed under the name uncultured bacterium. Its description in RNAcentral is "partial 16S ribosomal RNA". It matches the Rfam family "Bacterial small subunit ribosomal RNA", at positions 524 to 776 of the family's 1533-position model. The record is from RNAcentral.